UACGGAGGGUGCAAGCGUUGCUCGGAAUUAUUGGGCGUAAAGGGUAGGUAGGUGGUCUUAUUUGUCUGAGGUGAAAUCCUUGAGCUUAACUCAAGAAGUGCCUCAGAAACGGUAAGACUAGAGUCCUGGAGAGGGUCGUGGAAUUCCCGGUGUAGCGGUGAAAUGCGUAGAUAUCAGGAGGAACACCGAUGGCGAAGGCAGGUCUCUGGGCCACUACUGACGCUGAGAAGCGAAAGCAUGGGGAGCGAACAGG
Molecule: ribosomal RNA, 253 nt
Filed under: uncultured bacterium
Lineage: Bacteria
Description: partial 16S ribosomal RNA
Rfam family: Bacterial small subunit ribosomal RNA
Source: RNAcentral